AGGGUGUAAACGCUGCAGACUUGGUGUUGGAAGUCCUUUGGGGGCAUUCAGUGCCGGAGAGAAGUUGUUAAGUCUGCUACUUGGGGAGUACGUCCGCAAGGAUGAAACUUAAAGGAAUUGGCGGGGGAGCACAACAACGGGUGGAGCCUGCGGUUUAAUUGGACUCAACGCCGGACAACUCACCGGGGACGACAGCAAUAUGUAGGCCAGGCUGAAGACCUUGCCUGAAUCGCUGAGAGGUGGUGCAUGGCGUGUGACGUCU
This 262-nucleotide ribosomal RNA is filed under the name uncultured archaeon. Its description in RNAcentral is "partial 16S ribosomal RNA". It matches the Rfam family "Archaeal small subunit ribosomal RNA", at positions 748 to 1009 of the family's 1478-position model. The record is from RNAcentral.